UAAGUGGUACAAAAUAAAAGAAAAUGAGGAUUAAAGGGUCCUUUAAAAAAAAAAAAAAGGGAAAAAGAGAUGUGGGCCAAGCCCACAAAAAAGAAGAAAAAGAAAAUAAAGAGAAAAAGGAAUAAAAGUCUGAUGCAUCAUACGUGAAAACAGAAAACAAAAAUGAUAGAAGCAGAAACAAGAAAAAAAAAACGCAGUAGAAGGAAGGGAAGAAAAAGAGGGGAGAAAAAUAAGGAUUUUCAACCUAAAUCAUCAAGUUUGAGGCAAUCCGGAGACUCGAGAACGCAGUUUUGAUUUAUUGGGAAGUGUGCUUGAAUUGUGAAUUUGAGAUACUGUCGUUGAGAACGGGGCUGGUAAUUGAAGACUUCGUGAGUGGAUUCUGUUGCUGAGGUGAGCCACCGCAUUGUUCGUGGAGGCAACCAUUUCAGCUUUAUCUAGUUUAUUUCUAGUUAUUUCUUUUAUUUUGGGUUUACAUGCCCGACACUCAAACUCAUGUAACUCUGUUAGAUGCUCCAUGAUCUUAGCGUGGGAUGUGGGCUAGAGAUUCUUUUUAUCUUAGCGUUGAUUGAUUUUCGUAAAUUGAUUAAGGAUUUGGUUGGCGACUAUUUCACAUUUUUAUCAUUAAUAACGUUGUUGGACCUGCACUUAUUUUCUUUUAGUG
Lycium barbarum (goji berry) is the source of this 661-nucleotide long non-coding RNA. RefSeq lists it as uncharacterized. The record is from RefSeq and is a predicted model, not a curated record. The transcript is spliced from 3 exons. Lineage: Eukaryota; Viridiplantae; Streptophyta; Magnoliopsida; Solanales; Solanaceae.